This 461-nucleotide non-coding RNA is filed under the name Pan troglodytes (chimpanzee). Lineage: Eukaryota; Metazoa; Chordata; Mammalia; Primates; Hominidae. The record is from RNAcentral.
CAGGCGCCCACAGCCUGCAAAGCGUCUCCAGUGCCGCCGCCUCAGUGAACCGCAACCAGCGGCACCUAGCAGCUUUCUCCGCCACCCUCUUCAGGCAGGAAGCCCGCCUGACCCCACGUCUCAGGCUGCCAGAGGAGCGUGCGAUGAGGAAGGCUGGACUGUCUUCACAGGACACCAGAGAGAAGCCUCAAGCCACUGCCCCCUGACAAGUCUCAGCUCUCCAGCCUGUCUCCUCACUCCCCUCCCCUCCACAUGGGGGGGUUGGGGUGGGGGCGGGGAAGGUUCGGGGCAGGGGUCAUUUCAGCUACUGGGCACCAGUCUCCUCCUCAUGUUUAUCCUGUUCCCUUUGCUUGAAAGGUUCGUACUCCAGAUCCUUGUAAAACCGCUUCUCACCCUUUGAGUCUCAGCUUAAAUGUCCCCUCCUUGGAGGGGUCUUCCCUGACAAUGAAGCUCCGACCGUC